CAAUUUGAUGCACACAAAGAAAAGAAACUAGUGCCGUGAAACACCAGCCUGGGAAUACCAAACUUGGCAGCAGCGUCAGUGGCCCAAGGGAAGAAUAUAUCGGCUACCAAACAAUCUGGUUUAUGAUCUCGCAAGAGCUGCUCAAGAGGUUCUUGGAGCUUCGUUGUGGCCCCGACAAACUUGACAAUCAAUUCCUUGUUCACUUCAUUAGUGAUUGCGUCCAGAUUUUCACAUCCCUCUGGCAAACCGGCCUCCACAGAAGGGAACUUGAUGGUCUUCACAUCCAAUUCGAUGCCCAUUUCAUUGGCUCUUUCUACUGAUUUGGAGACGUAAGGCCCAUUGGCUGGAGUUGUAAUGACACUUGCUUUCACCCCACGAGAUGCAAACAACUUCGCCAUGUCCACAAUUGGAAUCAUGUGGCCGUGAGCCAUGAAUGGAAAGAAAAAAACGUGAAGCUGAGGGACUUUACUGCCCAUAUUCAACUUCCGAAUCAAAUACAACGAUAGACUAGAAUUAUUAAUGAAUGCAACUUUGUUAUUUUUCUGUGUUUCGAUAACCAACUAUGUGUGUGUGGACUCAAGAAAGCCGUAAAAUAUAUAGAACACAAGAAUUGGAGAUCAAGAAAUGAUGAAGACUUGGGAAUAUUCUAAGAAGAGGAUUAAUGGUCUUCGAUUCACACGCGUCUUUCUUGCCGUCACCACCUUGCUUUGUGCGUCAGCUUCUUUCACAGUAAUUAAAAGAAAGAAACUUAACCCCUCUGUCAAAUUUUUUGUUUCUUCCCUUGGCCGCAACAGUCUUGGUUCUCAUAUUAGUCAAAGUUUUAUGUAUUGACAAUAAAGAAUGGAUGUUUUAAAAGAAUUUAGAUAAUGAUCUGUGCUGUGAAUAAAAAAACACACUACCAUAUUGUUAUUUUUAUUUAAUUUAUUGAUAAAGCACAGAAAGAAAGCUUAAAAGUUUUCCUUGAAGUUUCCAUCGUGCCAAGUUGAAAAGGACAAAUGAAAAUUAAAAAAAAAAAAAAACUGGCUUCGUCGAUGUCUCUUCGUAGUUCAUAGAGACAAGAACAUGAUUACGUUGUUACGUAAGCUCAUACGUUGUUUUUUGUCAGGGUCACGAAUCAGAAUCCACAUGUCACAAUUGGCAUGGUUUGAGUAUCUAGUGCAAUCCUUGAGCAGUUGCGAUUGGCUAGGAGGAUGAUUCUACAGCUUCAAAGAUUAGCUUAUCCCUAAGUGUCUUACUAAUUUUUGAAGCUGGAUAUUUGUCUAUUCUCUUCUUCUUCCGGGCAACAUUGUCUCUAGGAGCCAUAACUAAAAAAGGAGGGAAAAGAAAAGAAAAGACACUCACCAAGGAAAUUGAAAGCCAAAGCCCUGAGCUCCACGAGGUGGGCGAAUGGUGCAAAGGGUGGUUUAUAUAGAAAUGAAUAGAGAGAAAAACAAAUUGAGCUUUUAUGCUUUUGGUUCUGGUGGAACGAGAAACUAAGAGAUAGGGAGUAGCUGUUGUAGAACAUAUAAAAAAUCAAUAAAAAUGUGCGGAGAAAUUGAAAAAAAAAAUGCUCUCUAAGGAGCAAAAACCCCCAGAGUGGGGAGCAGAAGCCACAUCCCCAAGAGUGGGGAGCAACAGGGAGCAGGAGUCAUGCUCCCCAAGGAGCAGAAACCAUGCUUCCCAGGAGGCAAGAGUAGGAACCAUACUCCUUAGGGAGUAGGAGCAGGAACCAUGCCCCUAGGGAUAACAAUAACAAAAUAAGUCGUGACCCAUGGGACCAUUAACCUGAUUUUGGAUUAUGGACCACACAGAAAAGCCAAGUCUAAAUAAAGAAACUAUUGUUGGAUUAAGUUUAGCAAAUAAAAGUUAACAAUGGAAAGAUAUUACUUGGUCCAGAAGUAAAUUAAAUAAAGUUUGACACAGAUAUGACCAAUAAAAAGAUAAAAAAAAAUAUUUUGUAAUUCAAACCCUAGAGAAUAGAGGAUAAUUAGGAAGAGUUAAAAUAAGAAAUGUACUUUAUCUAUAAAAUGCUAUAAAAUCAAAGGCCUCUCUUGGGGGAUGAGCACUGAAAAAGUAGUAAAGAGAGAGAGAGUUGAAUUGUAAUUGCAAUCUUAAUAAAAGAUUUAUUUUUUUUACCCGUGGAUGUAGUCUGAAUGCCGAACCACUUUAAUUUUAUAUAUCUUUUUUAUUAUAACGCCCCGACCUAGAUUAAUUCCAAUGACAGUGUGUCACAAAUCCUCCAAUAGCUUCAUGACUAGUUCAAGUUCAACUAGCAAAUGUGUCGCCAUAUGUAAUAGUAUAGGGUCAUGUUGAUGAUAAGGUUUUGCAAAAGCAUUGAAGCUGAACUAGAAACUAAUUCUUGCUGCCAUAUACUAUCAACAAUGAAAUAUACAAGGCUUUAGGAAUUUGGUUCCAACAAGUGAUGUAGGUUGGUUGGCGUAGGAUGAGCACGGUAUCUUUUAGAUGGCAUAAUUUGGACUACAAAUGUCCUAUGCAUAUAAUAUAUUAUCUCAAAGCUUGCGAUGAGGUAAAUCAAGCCAAGAACUGCUUAUGCCAUUUAGCUCCAUGGCCGAGCCAAAAAUUUUGUUUCGUUUUUGCUCGCUUUCCUAUUUUUAGUUAUUUUCUUAUUUUUCCUAUAACUUUUAAGAUUUUUUUUAAUUUUUUAAAUAUUAGAUUUAGGUGCCAUUUAUUAUAUUUUCUUCAUUAAAUUAGAAGAAUUAUAUUGUAAAAUAAUAUUUCAAAUUUACCUAUUUAAAAUUUUAAAAUUAGUAUAAAAAAAUUUUAAAAAUCUAAUUUUGUUGAUUCAGACUAUCAAAUAAUAUUUCAUUGUUCAAAAACUUAAUUUUUCUUAAUUAUGAACCUUUUUACACUUCCACAUCGCGACCGAGCAGUGUCUAUUUUAGCUUGGCUUCGAGAUUGAAUGAUGAAUCAAUCCAUGCAAUGGGCGUUCAUUCUUGCACUGCGGGCUACUUGGAUGCGUCUCUGCUCUGCGGUGAACAACAGGCCAUCCUCUUUCUAAAUACGUAUCCGAUCUGACGUUUACAGGCUUUAAUAAGUAAACGACUUUCAUGAAAGACGCGUCGGCCCAAUUCUUGGACGAUAUGUCGUCUACUUUAUAAUGACAUGACAUCUGGUUCUAGAACCUACAUACGAUAAGAUGUUUAAGUUUUUACUAAACAAACGACAAGAAAAACUUUGUGAAAUUUGAAAGGCCCGAACCACAGUAGGCGCCAGAGCCCAAAACAAACAACGUCUUAAUCCUUCUUCUUCAUUUGCAAUUUCACACAAACGGAUAUGAGCAGACUCUCCAGAAUUGCACCAACGUGAGCCACUCCGAUACGAUAUGAGACACAAUUAAUAACUACCAUGUUCGCGUUCAGGUAUCAAUGAGACAAAUUCAUAAUUGCUUAGAACGAAACUUAUCACAUCAGAAUUAUCCAUGGUAUUCCUGUUAAUUGACAGAAAGAUUUAUCAUGAGCAAAUAAGUUAAAUAUUAUUUCAUAUGUUGAUUUUUUUUUUUUCAAAAAACCUGUAAUUGGAUCGGUUGGCCAUCAAUCGCCUAUUGUUGAAAAAAGUUAAAGAGGUAGGGAAAAACCAAACUGAUUUUUCCACCACUCUCAAAAUUUUAAGCAGGAAGCCAAAUAAAUUUACUUGAAACUAAAUAAAAAUGGUUGAAAAUUAUUUCACCAAACUUGCGGGAAGAGUAUUUGACAUCAAAAUUCAUCCAUAACUGGACGUAUGAAAAUAUAUUCAUAUACAUACAUAUAUCCAGUCGAAAGAUUCAUACUUUGUAGUCACCAACCAGAUGACUUCGCCAAGUCGUGAUUUUCUCCUUCUGUUGCAAAAGUCGCCAACAAAUCAAAUGCUAACAAGCUGUUCAAGGCUCAAUCCAACCAACCAAUUGGGAAUCACCCCAAUACGACAGGAUCAAGAACAAAGACAAUCAAACAUGCUAUUAUGAUAUAUCUAGCUUUGUGUAAGUUUAGCUGCUUUGAUGGCGACUUAAACGCAACUCCUCAAUAAGAGCACUCAAAUCAGAGUACGAUGAACCGCCAUUUUCAACAGCUCUUUUUGCCAUCUUCCCCAAAGCCUUGGCUCUGCUUCUCAUUUCUUCUGCCCUAUCGCCCACCAUUAUCUCAUUCACGGCCUUUUCUAUUGUCUCUCUCUUCACAAAAUCCCCCACAAUUCUGCACCAUUUCUGGAUUCCAACACCAACGCCAAUCUUGAGAAUUUCAUUCACCAUCUUUUCAUUGUAAAAUUGCUCCGCGGCGACGGGCCAUGUCACCAGAGGUACCCCAGCAGCCACCGCUUCAAGAGUUGAAUUCCAUCCGCAAUGGGUCACAAAUCCUCCAACAGCUUCGUGAUCAAGUAUCAAAACCUGUGGCGCCCAUCCUCUAAUGAUUAGCCCUUUUCCCUCCAUUCUCUUCUCAAAUCCUUCAGGCAACCAAUCUUCAUUUCCUCCUUCACCGCCAUCAUUCUUGUUUUUGCUCACAACCCAAAUGAAAUUUCUCCCUGAAGCUUCCAGGCCCGUUGCAAUCUCCAUUAGCUGAGCAGAAGUAAAGUUGGCCAGGCUUCCAAAGCAAACGUAAACAACAGAAUAGGGUUGCUUUGAAUUCAACCACUUCAAGCACUCCAGUUCAUCAAUAGAGGCUUGCUUUCCCCUCAAAGCUUUAUCUUCAAAAUUCCUAUUGCAUAACGAAACAGGGCCAAUAUGCCAUGCCCUCCUUCCCAAAGCCUUCCUGUAAUGAUCAGCAUAAGCAGGCUCCAGCUCAUAAAAGCUGUUCACGGCAACACCAUAGCUCCUUAAGUCUGAGUCAUCGAUUGCUUUCAACAACCUGCUGAAGUCAUUAUCUCCCAUAUCCUGUUUUACAAAAUCUGGCAAUUGGUUUCUCGUCAGCUUGAUCUCACCAGGAAAAUGAGGCAUCACAAAUGGCUCUGAAUCCGAUGAAACUUUCUUGUGUGGCUCAUAUAGCGCCAGGCAAUUUGAUGCACACAAAGAAAAGAAACUAGUACCAUGAAACACCAACCUGGGAAUCCCAAACUUGGCAGCAGCAUCAGUAGCCCAAGGAAAGAACGUAUCAGCCACCAAACAAUCUGGUUUAUGUUCUUGCAAGAGCUGCUCAAGAGGUUCUUGGAGCUUCAUUGUGGCCCCGAAAAACUUGACAAUCAAUCCCUUGUUCACUUCAUUAGUGAUUGCGUCAAGAUUUUCACAUCCCUCUGGCAAACCGGCCUCCACAGAAGGGAACUUGAUGGUCUUCACAUCCAUUUCGAUGCCCAAUUCAUUGGCUCUUUCUACUGAUUUGGAGACGUAAGGAGCAUUGGC
This 5302-nucleotide long non-coding RNA is filed under the name Citrus sinensis (sweet orange). RNAcentral describes it as "long non-coding RNA (CSIN_LNC003338)". Lineage: Eukaryota; Viridiplantae; Streptophyta; Magnoliopsida; Sapindales; Rutaceae. The record is from RNAcentral.